GGGAAGCAGUAUGACUUUCUGACAUCUAGAACUACUGGAUUAUGAAAAUCUCAUCCAAGGCAAUGUCCAUUCUUUGAAGCUGAUGCAGAGGGAUGGCCUGCCCUGUGGACAGUGUUCAUCUUUCCCUGUCACUCCUACUCAUGCAGAGGAGAGACCUAAGAAAGAGAGUGGUCACAGCCCCACUGUCUCGUGAAGUCCUGGAUCAGAACAUGGAUCAAAACCAAC
Molecule: long non-coding RNA, 225 nt
Organism: Neofelis nebulosa (Clouded leopard)
Lineage: Eukaryota; Metazoa; Chordata; Mammalia; Carnivora; Felidae
Exons: 3
Source: RefSeq, a predicted model, not a curated record